RNA transcript from Coffea eugenioides, 5770 nucleotides. It is a transcript of the gene named putative disease resistance protein RGA3, with no coding region annotated. The transcript has 7 exons. The record is from RefSeq and is a predicted model, not a curated record. NCBI's taxonomy places the organism in Eukaryota, Viridiplantae, Streptophyta, Magnoliopsida, Gentianales, Rubiaceae.
GUUUUAGCCUCCACACAUUUUGCUGCCCUUAGUUGCCAAAGUUGAACCAUAUCCUUCCUUGUCUCAUCGCAGAAAGCAUCCCCCCAACACCAUCAUCGAUAUCACAACACUUUCAUCCUAAUCCUAAUCCCAAGCGAGAAAAAAUGGCUGAUGCUGCUGUUAGUGCUACUAUUAAGGUUGCAUUGCAGGCGGUUGUUUCUCUUGCCGCUGAUCAUCGUGAAUUCCCAGAGGAGCUGGAGAGACUCGACAAAUCUGCUGCAAUGAUUCGAGGCUUCUUGGCUGGUGCCGACGAGGACAAGCAUAGCUCAGACGUGAAAAAUUGGCUCAAGCAGCUGGAAGAAGAGGUUUUCAAAGCUGACAAUGUGCUGGACGAGCUCAACUAUGACAAUCUUCGUCGGAAGGUGAAGUAUCAAAAUCAACUCACGAAAAAGAAGGUAUUCUUCUGCUUUUCAUUCUUUAAUAAAAUUGGUUUUCGUUGGAGGUUGGGUUCAAUGAUCAGGGAGAUCAACACGAACCUUCAAAGGAUCCGUCGGGAUGCAGAAGGUUUGGGACUGGCCUACAAGCACCAAGUUGAAGAAGCAUUCCCUACUAUUGCUGCUGGAGCCACAACAAGCCGACAGACCGACUCUACUAUUGUUCGAAGAGAUGUUCUAGGAAGAGACGAGGAUGAAUCAGAAAUAGUUAAGAAGUUGUUGACCGAAUCUGAAAGUGUUAUUUCAGUUAUUCCCAUAACUGGCAUGGGUGGUUUAGGAAAAACAACUCUAGCAAAAGCCGUUUACAAAAAUGAACAAAUUGUUGGACAAUUUGACAAAAAAAUGUGGGUUUGUGUGGCUGAAGAAGUAGAUAAAAUCGAGAAGGUCUUCAAAAUGAUUCUUGAAUCGUUAACAGGAGGAAAGGUUGAAGGGGAUCGUAGGGAGGUAAUAGUUCAAAAAAUUCAGCAUGAACUCAAGGAAAAAAGAUAUUUCCUUGUUCUUGAUGAUUUGUGGAAUGAUCAAGAAGUAUUGUUGAAUGACUUUUUCAGCACUUUGGCGGGACUCAAUGCGAAGAAAGGGAGCUGGUGUCUUGUUACCACUCGUCUGCAAGAAGUGGCAACUAUUCUGUCUAGACAUCCGCAGAUCAAUUUUACUCGCCAUGAGCUGGGAAAGCUAUGCGAUAAUGAUUGCUGGUCUAUCAUGAAAAAAUGGGCAAAUGUAGGGGAAGAAUUACCAAAAGAAUUGGAAGACAUGAGGGAGCAAGUUUUAAGAAGAUGUGACGGUCUACCUCUGGCAGCAACGUUAAUUGGAGGUUUGUUAUCUAAAAAGAGAAAAGAGGAUUGGCUAUCUAUUUUGGAGGAGAGUCUCUUGAAUGGCAAUCAAGGUGGGAUCAAGCAAAUACUUAAGGUGAGUUUUGAUCAUCUGUCACCUGCACCGGUUAAGAAAUGCUUUGCAUAUUGCUCAAUUUUUGAUCAAGAUACUGAAUUGGAACAAGAUCGACUAGUUGAGCUUUGGAUGGCUGAAGGCUUUCUUCAACCGGAUCCCCAAAAUGAAAGAAUGAUGGAGAAAAUAGGAUGUGAGUAUUUGAGAAUUUUGCUGCAAACUUCCUUAUUGGAAGAAGUAAAAGAGGAGAGGAGAACAUGGUAUAAAAUGCAUGACCUUGUGCAUGAGUUUGCAAAAUCAAUUUUGAAUCGUAGCAGCAGCAAUGAGGACCGCUACCUUUCAUUAUACUCAUCCGAAAGAAUGUUAGAAAACAUGAACGAAAAAAAAUCAGCAUCACUUCGCACAUUAUUUCUGAAGGGUGGCAUAGCUGAUGAAAUAUUAUCAAAGUUCAAACACUUGCAUGUCCUAAAAUUGUCUGGAGAAGAUGUCAAAGAGUUGCCGACCUCCAUUGGCAAACUAAUCCACUUACACUUACUUGACAUUUCAGAUUCGAUGAUUACAACUUUGCCAGAAUCUCUUUGCGAACUUUAUAGUUUGCAAACACUAAGAAUUUACGCGCUUGAAAAAGGUUUUCCAAAGAAGAUGAGCAAUUUGAUUAGCAUGAGACAUCUUCACUAUUUUCAUUAUCGUUAUGAUAAAGGAUGCAAAAUCCAGAUGCCAUCCAGUAUUGGACGAUUGACUUGUCUUCAAACAUUAGAGUUCUUUAACAUAGGUCGUCAGGAGGAAGGUCGUGGUAUCCAAGAACUUGGGACCUUGCAAGAUCUUAAAGGCACCUUGGAGAUCAGAAAUCUUGAAUCAGUAAAUGGCAAAGAUGAUGCAGAACUAGCGAACCUAUCUAAAAAGCCACAUAUGUAUCGGUUGGUAUUUGAGUGGGGCAAUAGGGAUCGAGAAAGUGAUAAUUGUGAUGAAGAUGUGUUGGAAGGCCUCCAACCUCACCCAAAUUUAAAAGAGUUACAAAUUUUGAAGUUCAUGGGUGAUCAGUUCCCACAAUGGUUCAUGAAUUUGACAUCACUGGUGGAGUUGCGUGUGGCGAAUUGCACAAGAUGCAGAGAACUCCCCACCCUAGGACAGCUGUCAUCCCUCCAACAUCUAUAUCUGACUGGAUUGGAAAACAUAAGAAGCAUUGGGCUUUCAUUCUACAGUACAAGUGCUGAGGAGGACGGCGGAUCAGGAGGUUCAGGCACUGUUAGCAGACAAACAUUCUUUCCAGCCCUUAAAAUUCUCUCACUUGAAAGCAUGGAAAAUUUGGAAGAGUGGAAGGACGCACACGAAAUAAGGUCAACCGCAGGUGAAGUACAUGUGAUGGAUGUGUUUCCCAUGCUUGAAGAGUUGUAUAUUAGCCAUUGCCCCAAGCUGACCACCAUUCCAACUCCAAGUCGUUUCCCAAGUCUUGAUGUAUUGAAAAUAAAAAAGAAUUGCCAUGUUUUGCUGGCAGAAAAGGUUUUGAGCAAUAUGGCCAAUCUCUCAUCCCUUGAAUUAUGGGAUCUUGGUGGUCAACGCAUCGAGUCUCUAAAAUUAGUGAAACGACCAGAGAGCAGCUUGAGUAUUGAAGGCUGUAACAGUCUACCCACUGACAUGCUUGAGCGACUCUGUCUUUUUCCAACUCUUCAGCGUGUAGAAUUGAGGCUUGCCGCUAAUAUAACAACAUUAAGAGGAAUGAGUUGCGCCGCUUGUCUUAAGAGAUUGGUAGUCUUUUGCUGUGACAAUUUACGGGAGUUGCCAGAAGAUCUUUAUCAAUUUCAAGCUUUAGAGUACUUGCUGAUACAAGGGUGCCCGAGAAUUAAUUCAUUUGGAUAUCCAAAUCCUAAUUCAUUUGGACAGAAAGGCCUCCUUAAGUCUCUUGAGGAAUUUACUAUCGAAGGGUGUGAUGCAUUAACAAGAUUACCAGCGGAGAUGUUCGAGUCGUGUACGUCUCUCCGAGAGCUGAAUUUGUUCGGUUGCCCCAGUCUGGUCUCCUUUCCCCUUGAUUUGCGACGAACCCCUUCUCUCGAGAGCUUCAUUUUAGGGGGGUGUCCCAACUUGAUUGCUGAGAUGCCAAGUGGAUUUGGCUAUCUUACCAGCUUAAGGCGUGUGUCGAUUGGUCCCUUCUCAGAUGACUCUGCAAUCAAAUUUGAUUGGGCUGGAUUAGCAUCUUCAUCAUCACUCCGACACGUGUCUUUAUGUGGAAUGCCUGACAUGAAAUCUCUGCCACACCAGCUUCAAUGCUUGACUACCAUCACAUCACCCUCCGUGGAUGCCAUGGAACGCCUCACAUUCAGACGUCUGCGAAUUCGUGAUUGUCCUCUAUUAACCGACAGAUGCACUCCUCAAAGCGGCUCCGAGUGGCCCAAGAUCUCUAAUAUUCCAGAGCGUAGAAUUGUCCGUAAGCAAAAUUCACCAAUAUUGGGCCACAAGUGUCAGUGAAGCAGCAAGCAGUGAUAAUAUUAUGUGCUCAAGGCAAAGUCAGCCUGGAACCUCUAAAGCAUCUUAUUGCACUUUUCACAUUCUCCAACUGCAACAUUAGGCUGUGGUUUCCAAUCAUUUUUGAAGAAAGAUGAGGAGGUAUUUGCACUAAAUUUGUUCAGGAAGCAGAGAUUAUGCUCUUUGGACAAAGAACACCAGUCAGGUUUUGGUUCCCGUGUUGUUCUUAUGAGAAUGUCAAGAGGGAGGAGUUAUUUUCAGUUAUCAAUCAGGUUUUGAAGAUGGAAGGUAGUUAUCUGUGAUUUUUCCCACCAGAAUGCCAUAUAUUGCUCAGAAUGUGGAAAUGAAGCAUGCUGAAAACAGAGUGGCUUGUGCCAGACUUGUAGAAAGUAGUAUGGAUGGAGAAGAAUUAGAGGGGAGCAUGGUAGCUGUACUGGAGAGCUAUCAAGGUACAAGACUUACUUGAAAAACACUGGGCGUGCUGAUACUUUAAUUCCAGAGGUGACAACAUUUGAUGGAAAGAAGUUAGACGUUGUAGACAGCAUUUCAGAAACCACUGGGAAUAUGUAACAUUUCAGAAGACUAAUGAAGGUGGGAGAUCAAUGAUAAAUGUUUCACAUGAAGUUCUCAAACAUGGUUUCACCCAAUUAGAGAAAGCAGUGAUUUUCAAGCAAAAAUGUAUGGAUGGUGAUGUGGUAGACAAUUGUUCUCUUAAGGAGUGAAGAUCAGUCUUCUAGAAAGCACUAUGUGACAGAGUAAAUGAAGAGGAAGCAGAUAUCAUCUUGUUGGAAAAGGAACAGCAUUGUUCCCUGUCGUUUUUGUGAGAAUGUCAAAAGGAAGAAAUUACUGUCACUGUGCAGGCAAUAAACAGGGUGCUUCAUUCCACUUGAUAGAGAUACUGUGCCACAAGUCUAUUCUGCUAAGGUUAGAUGAGCAUUUUUUCAGCGUAGCCAUUGAAAUGAAGUUGGCAAUCAACUCUAACAAAUUCAAGGAAGAAGGAUACUACUUGCCGACAUUUAUAGAAUUGCGGCAUUCUUUUGCUGCUUCUUUCUGAAAAAGGUUAUCUUUUACUAGUCCAUUUUUGUCCUAAAUAUCUUAGUGUACUAGGAGAAAUCAGUCUGCUCAAAAGAAAGUCCUUCGAGGCUAAAUCCGUUGAUUAUUUGUUUUGAAUUAUAAUACAUGAAUACCAAUCAUGACUUUUUUCCUUGGGUUAUUAUGCCAAACUAGCUAAGAUUAGAACCUCACUUUGCAAGCAUAGGAAGGAUUAUCAUCUCACUGUUCUUCCGAGUUUUACAUUCUCAUGUUUUAUUAACAAUAUGCAAAUUUUUGAAUUCCAUUUUUGGUUCAUCUCGUAAUUAUUUAGAAUGAUCAUCUUUCCAUUACUAGUUGCUAACAGUGUUCUUUGUUCAUUGUCAACUCUUUAUCCAAUAUCUGUAUCAAUAUUGAAGACAAUCAGUGUCUAAUGGGUUUUGAUGGAACAUGUAGGAAGCAGCAGCUUUCGAGUUAAAGUGUAUGAAUGUUGUCUCGAUGAAUUACAGGUUUACUUUGUUUCUCUCAAAGUUGGCAUUUCUUUCACACACAUAUGGAAGUGCCCGACCUUUCAUAUAUUUUGGAGGUUUCUUCUGAUUUGAUUUGCUUGAGACAAAGGGAAGCAUAUGAAGGAGAUCUUGGUUCCAGUUUAAGCUGGCAUGGCUGAGACCUGUAGCCAAUUUGGUUGAUCUUGGUUCCAGUUUAAGCUGUCUGGAUUGCUCUUUGUCAAUCUCGUGAAUGUGGAUCUCAUAUCAAUGGAAGCAUUGAAAGUAUGAAGAUGAGAAAGCAAGAAUACUGGUAGCUAGCUGUUGGAUUGUAGGCAUGUAAAAAGUCUUAACUAUACUAAAAUUGUCACCCAGAUAGCUGGCUAGAAUGCAUAUAUUACUCUAGCUUGUUCUAUAAAGAGAUAUGAUUUGAGGUUUUAA